AUUUAACGCUGGCGGCAGGCUUAACACAUGCAAGUCGAGCGGGGAAUGGUUGCUUCGGUAACUGACCUAGCGGCGGACGGGUGAGUAAUGCUUAGGAAUCUGCCUAUGAGUGGGGGUCACCGCUUCGAAAGGAACGCUAAUACCGCAUACGUCAAAAAAGAGAAAGCAGGGGAUCUUUGGACCUUGCGCUAAUAGAUGAGCCUAAGUCGGAUUAGCUAGUUGGUGGGGUAAAGGCCUACCAAGGCGACGAUCUGUAGCGGGUCUGAGAGGAUGAUCCGCCACACUGGGACUGAGACACGGCCCAGACUCCUACGGGAGGCAGCAGUGGGGAAUAUUGGACAAUGGGCGGAAGCCUGAUCCAGCCAUGCCGCGUGUGUGAUUUGAGGGUUUUGGUUGUAAAGCACUUUAAGCGAGGAGGAGGAGCUUCAGGUUAAUACCCUGGAUGCUUGGACGUUUCUUACGGAAUAAGCACCGGCUAACUCUGUG
RNAcentral lists this ribosomal RNA (486 nucleotides) under uncultured bacterium. RNAcentral describes it as "bacterial SSU rRNA". It matches the Rfam family "Bacterial small subunit ribosomal RNA", at positions 32 to 507 of the family's 1533-position model. The record is from RNAcentral.